RNAcentral lists this transfer RNA (88 nucleotides) under Nitrososphaerota archaeon. RNAcentral describes it as "tRNA-Leu". It matches the Rfam family "tRNA". Rfam says of the family: Transfer RNA (tRNA) molecules are approximately 80 nucleotides in length. Their secondary structure includes four short double-helical elements and three loops (D, anti-codon, and T loops). Further hydrogen bonds mediate the characteristic L-shaped molecular structure. tRNAs have two regions of fundamental functional importance: the anti-codon, which is responsible for specific mRNA codon recognition, and the 3' end, to which the tRNAs corresponding amino acid is attached (by aminoacyl-tRNA synthetases). tRNAs cope with the degeneracy of the genetic code in two manners: having more than one tRNA (with a specific anti-codon) for a particular amino acid; and 'wobble' base-pairing, i.e. permitting non-standard base-pairing at the 3rd anti-codon position. The record is from RNAcentral. Lineage: Archaea; Thermoproteati; Nitrososphaerota.
GGCGGGGUAUCCGAGCCAGGUCUAAGGAGGAGGACUUAAGAUCCUCUGGCGCAGGCCUUCACGGGUUCAAGUCCCGUCCCCGCCACCA